GAAGGGGGCUAGCGUUGUUCGGAAUUACUGGGCGUAAAGCGUGCGCAGGCGGCCAUCCAAGUCAGUGGUGAAAGCCCGGAGCUCAACUCCGGAAUUGCCAUUGAAACUGUUCGGCUCGAGUACGAGAGAGGUGAGUGGAAUUCCCAGUGUAGAGGUGAAAUUCGUAGAUAUUGGGAAGAACACCGGUGGCGAAGGCGGCUCACUGGCUCGUUACUGACGCUCAUGCACGACAGCGUGGGGAUCAAACAGGAUUAGAUACCCUGGUAGUCCACGCCGUAAACGAUGAACGCUAGCCGUUGGCCAGCUUGCUGGUCAGUGGCGCAGCUAACGCAUUAAGCGUUCCGCCUGGGGAGUACGGCCGCAAGGUUG
RNAcentral lists this ribosomal RNA (369 nucleotides) under uncultured bacterium. Its description in RNAcentral is "bacterial SSU rRNA". It matches the Rfam family "Bacterial small subunit ribosomal RNA", at positions 527 to 896 of the family's 1533-position model. The record is from RNAcentral.